UCCCCGAUGGCUCAGAGGGUAAAGCAUCUGCCUGCAAUGCAGGAGACCCAGGUUCGAUCCCUGGGUUGGGAA
This 72-nucleotide transfer RNA is filed under the name Bos taurus (domestic cattle). It matches the Rfam family "tRNA". Rfam says of the family: Transfer RNA (tRNA) molecules are approximately 80 nucleotides in length. Their secondary structure includes four short double-helical elements and three loops (D, anti-codon, and T loops). Further hydrogen bonds mediate the characteristic L-shaped molecular structure. tRNAs have two regions of fundamental functional importance: the anti-codon, which is responsible for specific mRNA codon recognition, and the 3' end, to which the tRNAs corresponding amino acid is attached (by aminoacyl-tRNA synthetases). tRNAs cope with the degeneracy of the genetic code in two manners: having more than one tRNA (with a specific anti-codon) for a particular amino acid; and 'wobble' base-pairing, i.e. permitting non-standard base-pairing at the 3rd anti-codon position. Lineage: Eukaryota; Metazoa; Chordata; Mammalia; Artiodactyla; Bovidae. The record is from Rfam by way of RNAcentral.